Molecule: long non-coding RNA, 273 nt
Filed under: Olea europaea (common olive)
Lineage: Eukaryota; Viridiplantae; Streptophyta; Magnoliopsida; Lamiales; Oleaceae
Description: long non-coding RNA (OEUR_LNC005461)
Source: RNAcentral
AUUUUUACGCGAUAUAAAUACCCAAAAUCAUAAAAUUGAGGGCAUGAACGACCAGGGAGAAAAAAUACACUCAAUUUGAAGGCAAGAAACACAAUCUUGGGCUUGAUUUCACAAGGAUUCAAGAAGGAAUUGAAGAUUACACACAAAAUAGAAAGAUUAUCAUACGGGUGUAUUCUUUAUAUCUUUUAAUUUCGUUUUAAUUCUUGAUUUUGUAAUUAUGAUCAUAGGCUAGGGUUUUUAUUCAUUAGGAAAUCAAUGAACCUUUGAUUAUUU